Molecule: ribosomal RNA, 216 nt
Filed under: Glomeromycotina sp.
Lineage: Eukaryota; Fungi; Glomeromycota
Description: partial small subunit ribosomal RNA
Rfam family: Eukaryotic small subunit ribosomal RNA (bases 40-216)
Source: RNAcentral
GGGUCAGUAGGUUGGUCGUGCCACCGGUACGUACUGGCCUCACUAAUUCCUCCUUCCUGAAGAACCGUAAUGCCAUUAAUUUGGUGUUGCGGGGAAACAGGACUGUUACUUUGAAAAAAUUAGAGUGUUUAAAGCAAGCUAACGCUUGAAUACAUUAGCAUGGAAUAAUGAAAUAGGACGAUCGAUCCUAUUUUGUUGGUUUCUAGGAUUGACGUA